CCUACCAUAGGUAUGCUUAGGGAAGAGCUUGGGUCACAUUAAUUAGUUGGGGGGGUAAUGGCCUACCAAGACGAUGAUGUGUAGCCGGGCUGAGAGGUCGAACGGCCACAUUGGGACUGAGACACGGCCCAAACUCCUACGGGAGGCAGCAGUAAGGAAUUUUCGGCAAUGGAGGAAACUCUGACCGAACAAUGCCCCGUGAACGAUGAAGUAUUUCGGUACGUAAAGUUCUUUUAUUAAGGAAGAAAAGAUGGUGGAAAAACCAUUAUGACGGUACCUAAUGAAUAAGCCCCGGCUAACUAUGUGCCAGCAGCCGCGGUAAUACAUAGGGGGCAAGCGUUAUCCGGAAUUAUUGGGCGUAAAGGGUGCGUAGGCGGUUAAAUAAGUUUAUGGUCUAAGUGCAACGCUCAACGUUGUGAUGCUAUAAAAACUGGUUAUCUAGAGUUGGAUAGAGGCAAGUGGAAUUCCGUGGGUAGUGGUAAAAUGCGUAAAUAUACGGAGGAACACCCGAAGCGAAGGCGGCUUGCUGGGUCUUAACUGACGCUGAAGCACGAAAGCGUGGGGAGCAAACAGGAUUAAAUACCCUGGUAGUCCACGCCCUAAACGAUGAGUACUAAACGUUGGAUAAAACCCGUGUUGAAGUUAACACAUUAAGUACUCCGCCUGAGUAGUACGUACGCAAGUAUGAAACUUAAAGGAAUUGACGGGACUCCCCCCAAGCGGUGGAUCAUGUUUGUUUUAAUUCCAAGGUACCCGAAAAACCCCACCCGGUCCUUGACAUGCUUUCUUCAAAGCUUGUAGAAAUACCGUGGGAGGUU
This 818-nucleotide ribosomal RNA is filed under the name Candidatus Phytoplasma solani. Its description in RNAcentral is "bacterial SSU rRNA". It matches the Rfam family "Bacterial small subunit ribosomal RNA", at positions 200 to 1020 of the family's 1533-position model. The record is from RNAcentral. Lineage: Bacteria; Bacillati; Mycoplasmatota; Mollicutes; Acholeplasmatales; Acholeplasmataceae.